Molecule: non-coding RNA, 524 nt
Organism: Salvia hispanica
Lineage: Eukaryota; Viridiplantae; Streptophyta; Magnoliopsida; Lamiales; Lamiaceae
Source: RefSeq, a predicted model, not a curated record
CACUGAAGCCUUCUCUUUCCUCUCAUUUUUUCCUUCUUUCACUGUGCACAGAGGCCACAUGGAAUAUAUACUAAAAGCCUGGGAACUUGGAAAAUAAAUAUGAUAAACAAGAAGCUCGUGCAUAUUCAAAAGACAUUUCAUCUUUCUGUGGAAGGUUACUGGAAGAAACUGAAGAUGAGCUUUCAGAGAGGAUAAAGAAAGGAUCUGUUAACGCCGGAGAAGUAAGCAGGGUCCUAUGCCAAGACAUCGGCAGAUAUUGUAGUCAGACAAGUGGCAAUAGGGAAACAGUGGAAGAUGAAACCAGCAACGAAGAACUCUAGGAACUGCGUGAGGUGGCUCUGCGAAACCGGGCGUUUUGGUAGAAAAACUGAGGCUUCAGAGGUUGUGAAUUUCUCACCUCCAAAAUGCCUUGUUUUACUUUGGUGGUGUUCAGAAUUCAUGAGAUCAAAUUUAACUGUCACUUACACUUACACUUACACUGCACUUGAAAAGAAAAAUAUUAUCAUUAUCUUUCUUAUCUCCCA